This 253-nucleotide ribosomal RNA is filed under the name uncultured bacterium. RNAcentral's name for it is "partial 16S ribosomal RNA". It matches the Rfam family "Bacterial small subunit ribosomal RNA", at positions 524 to 776 of the family's 1533-position model. The record is from RNAcentral.
UACGGGGGGGGCAAGCGUUGUUCGGAAUUACUGGGCGUAAAGGGCUCGUAGGCGGCCACCUAAGUCGGACGUGAAAUCCCUCGGCUUAACCGGGGAACUGCGUCCGAUACUGGAUGGCUUGAGUUCGGGAGAGGGAUGCGGAAUUCCGGGUGUAGCGGUGAAAUGCGUAGAUAUCUGGAGGAACACCGGUGGCGAAGGCGGCAGCCUGGACCGACACUGACGCUGAGGAGCGAAAGCCAGGGGAGCAAACGGG